Molecule: small nuclear RNA, 103 nt
Organism: Mustela erminea (ermine)
Lineage: Eukaryota; Metazoa; Chordata; Mammalia; Carnivora; Mustelidae
Source: RefSeq, a predicted model, not a curated record
GUGCUUGCUUCAGCAACAUAUAUACAAAAAUGGAACAAUACAAUUGAUUAACAUGGCCCAAGCACAAGGAUGAUAUUCAAAUUAUGAAGCAUUCCAUAUUUGU